GACGAACGCUGGCGGCGUGCUUAACACAUGCAAGUCGAACGCUGAAGCUCAGCUUUUGUUGGGUGGAUGAGUGGCGAACGGGUGAGUAACACGUGAGUAACCUGCCUCCUUCUUUGGGAUAACGCCCGGAAACGGGUGCUAAUACUGGAUAUUCACUGGUCUUCGCAUGGGGGUUGGUGGAAAGGGUUUUUCUGGUGGGGGAUGGGCGCGCGGCCUAUCAGCUUGUUGGUGGGGUGAUGGCCUACCAAGGCUUUGACGGGUAGCCGGCCUGAGAGGGUGACCGGUAACAUUGGGACUGAGAUACGGCCCAGACUCGUACGGGGGGCGGCAGUGGGGAAUAUUGCACAAUGGGCGCAAGCCUGAUGCAGCGACGCUGCGUGAGGGAUGGGGGCCUUCGGGUUGUGAACCUCUUUCGCUCAUGGUCAAGCCGAAACAAUGGUUGUGGUGAGGGUAGUGGGUAAAGAAGCGCCGGCUAACUACGUG
This 483-nucleotide ribosomal RNA is filed under the name uncultured bacterium. RNAcentral's name for it is "partial 16S ribosomal RNA". It matches the Rfam family "Bacterial small subunit ribosomal RNA", at positions 28 to 507 of the family's 1533-position model. The record is from RNAcentral.